UACGAAGGGGGCUAGCGUUGCUCGGAAUCACUGGGCGUAAAGGGUGCGUAGGCGGGUCUUAAGUCAGGGGUGAAAUCCUGGAGCUCAACUCCAGAACUGCCUUUGAUACUGAGGAUCUUGAGUUCGGGAGAGGUGAGUGGAACUGCGAGUGUAGAGGUGAAAUUCGUAGAUAUUCGCAAGAACACCAGUGGCGAAGGCGGACUCACUGGCCCGAUACUGACGCUGAGGCACGAAAGCGUG
Molecule: ribosomal RNA, 240 nt
Filed under: uncultured bacterium
Lineage: Bacteria
Description: partial 16S ribosomal RNA
Rfam family: Bacterial small subunit ribosomal RNA
Source: RNAcentral